This 331-nucleotide ribosomal RNA is filed under the name uncultured eukaryote. Its description in RNAcentral is "partial 18S ribosomal RNA". It matches the Rfam family "Eukaryotic small subunit ribosomal RNA", at positions 1470 to 1796 of the family's 1831-position model. The record is from RNAcentral.
CCCUUAGAUGUUCUGGGCCGCACGCGCGCUACACUGAAGAAGUCAGCGAGCAUGUCCUACGCCGACAGGUGCGGGGAAUCUUGUCAAACUUCGUCGUGAUGGGGAUUGAUUAUUGAAAUUCUUGAUCAUCAACGAGGAAUUCCUAGUAAGCGCAAGUCAGCAGCUUGCGUUGAUUACGUCCCUGCCCUUUGUACACACCGCCCGUCGCUACUACCGAUUGAAUGGUUUAGUGAGAUCUUCGGAUUGGCGCCACUGCGGCUCAGCAAUGGGCUCGGUGGAUGCCGAAAAGUUGAUCAAACUUGAUCAUUUAGAGGAAGUAAAAGUCGUAACA